CCUACGGGUGGCUGCAGUGGGGGAUAUUGGACAAUGGGGGAAACCCUGAUCCAGCGACGCCGCGUGAGUGAAUAAGUAUUUCGGUAUGUAAAGCUCUAUCAGCAGGGAAGAAAGAAAUGACGGUACCUUAAUAAGAAGCCCCGGCUAACUACGUGCCAGCAGCCGCGGUAAUACGUAGGGGGCAAGCGUUAUCCGGAAUUACUGGGUGUAAAGGGAGCGUAGACGGUAAUGCAAGUCUGGAGUGAAAGGCGGGGGCCCACCCCCCGGACUGCUCUGGAAACUGUGUAGCUGGAGUGCAGGAGAGGAAGGCGGAAUUCCUAGUGUAGCGGUGAAAUGCGUAGAUAUUAGGAGGAACACCAGUGGCGAAGGCGGCCUGCUGGACUGUAACUGACGUUGAGGCUCGAAAGCGUGGGGAGCAAACAGGAUUAGAUACCCGUGUAGUC
Molecule: ribosomal RNA, 443 nt
Filed under: uncultured bacterium
Lineage: Bacteria
Description: partial 16S ribosomal RNA
Rfam family: Bacterial small subunit ribosomal RNA
Source: RNAcentral